GCUUGUGCAAUCCGGGCUGUUCCGGCAUGCAAUAUAUCCUAGAUUUUCAAGAAAAUUUAGAUCUAAACUGAGAAAAUCGAAACAGACAGCCGACAGACAUGGCAAGAUCAACUUAUCUAGUGAUGCUGAUCAAGGCCACAGCAAUUUUAAAAGUGAUUUACAAAAUGUUUGUGCCUGCCUAAAUUGUUUUAUACAACUAAAAAAAUAUUACACAAUCGAAACUUUUAAACGCCCACAUGAUAAUCAGCUGUAUUCUUUCAUUUAAUAACUUUAUGGAUUGUAAUGUAAUAACAUAUUUGUUCCCUAUACGAACAAGGUUUUUCAUUUUGUAAAACACACAAUUUCAUGUUUUUAAUGCACAUACGUGUAUAUCUAGAAAGGUCGUAACACAGUCAAGAAUGACAGAAAAGCUGUGUUAUGCAAAACGAGUACCUAAAGACUAAAAUGAAAAUUGGCAAAUCACAGAUGACUGCGUGGAUUUCUGUUUUCGUCAACUGCUAGACUCUUUGAGAGACAUAUGUAUGUUCACGAAUCCAUAUUAAUCAACAAAUACAUAACCGUACCAAAGGGCCCGAACCAACAAAUCGUUCUAAAAAUGGAUACUCCUGCUCUGAGCAAACUGGAACUAAAUGAGAGAGCUCAUUGAAAUUCUUAGUGCGCAUGUUACAAGCACAGUAAAAAUUCAACGUAAGAAUCAAGCAGAAAUCUUUAAUUUGAAGAACAAAUUCUAAAACUAUAAUGAACUCCAAAAACAAUUUUCAUAUAAAAUAUGAUAGAUAAAAAUGAAAACUGUAAACUGUAAAACUAUAAAGGAACCCCAGAAAACAAUUAUACAAAAUAGUUUAAUAGCCUUGAAAGUAGUAAUCUGUUUUAUUAUCUAUUCAAAAUGUAUUUAUUAAAAGUUUGAUUUUAAAUACAGAAAA
Long non-coding RNA from Drosophila biarmipes, 923 nucleotides. RefSeq lists it as uncharacterized. The transcript has 2 exons. The record is from RefSeq and is a predicted model, not a curated record. NCBI's taxonomy places the organism in Eukaryota, Metazoa, Arthropoda, Insecta, Diptera, Drosophilidae.